RNAcentral lists this ribosomal RNA (686 nucleotides) under uncultured bacterium. RNAcentral describes it as "bacterial SSU rRNA". It matches the Rfam family "Bacterial small subunit ribosomal RNA", at positions 393 to 1092 of the family's 1533-position model. The record is from RNAcentral.
CAUGCCGCGUGAGUGAUGAAGGCCUUAGGGUUGUAAAGCUCUUUUACCGGGGACGAUGAUGACGGUACCCGGAGAAUAAGCCCCGGCUAACUUCGUGCCAGCAGCCGCGGUAAUACGAAGGGGGCGAGCGUUGUUCGGAGUUACUGGGCGUAAAGGGCGCGUAGGCGGCGUCCCAAGUUAGGCGUGAAAGCCCCGGGCUCAACCUGGGAAUUGCGCUUAAGACUGGGAUGCUCGAGUGCGGAAGAGGUGAGUGGAAUUCCCAGUGUAGAGGUGAAAUUCGUAGAUAUUGGGAAGAACACCAGUGGCGAAGGCGGCUCACUGGUCCGCAACUGACGCUGAGGCGCGAAAGCGUGGGGAGCAAACAGGAUUAGAUACCCUGGUAGUCCACGCCGUAAACGAUGAGUGCUAGACGUUGGGAAACUCAGUUUCUUGGUGUCGCAGCUAACGCAUGAAGCACUCCGCCUGGGGAGUACGGCCGCAAGGUUAAGACUCAAAGGAAUUGACGGGGGCCCGCACAAGCGGUGGAGCAUGUGGUUUAAUUCGACGCAACGCGCAGAACCUUACCAGCUCUUGACAUGGGGAGUAUGGGAUCGAGCGAUUGAUCCCUUCAGUUCGGCUGGCUCCCACACAGGUGCUGCAUGGCUGUCGUCAGCUCGUGUCCUGAGACGGUGGGGUAAGUCCCGCAA